UGCGGGCGGCGGACGGCGGUGCUGAGCGCAGCCUGCGGGCUGGCGGCCAGGAUAGGAACUGCGAGAUCCGCCUCGGAGGAGGAGGCGGGGGGAGUCUGAGCAACAGGACGAGUGGGAGAGCGCGAGCUAGGGUUUCAGCUCAUUUUAUACCAUGGGAACGCGAUGCUAACCAUCGGAUCGGAGAUGGACGGUCGAGAAUGAUUAGGCCGGGUAGGCCAAGCCCAAAACGGCCCAUAUUUAUCUCAACUCAUUGUUUUUCUUUUUUUUUUCAAUUUAAAGCACUCUGGUGAAGUAACUUGCAAAAAAGGACAUCUUAAAUAGGCAAUACACUUUUGAAAUGUACUAGACAAUAUCUAAGUUGCCAUGUAGAAGUUUCAAUAAUUUUUUGAACAGAUUUAGUAUUUUCUACCAUUUAAAUGAAUUUCUGCAUGCUUAUUGAAAGUAAUUACUAUUUGAACUACAAGUAUCUCAAAUAAUACCUAAAAAAAUCCCAAAAAAUAUAUUUAAGCAAACAUAUACAAUUUUAUACUAUAUCCUAAAAAACAAAUGAAUGAUUCAAAUGUUUGUUAGAGAUAAUUUAAACUUCUAUGCACAAAUUUAUUGAAAAUAAAAUUAAUAAUAUCCAAAUUUGGUCAGAAGCUUAUGUUGACCAUAAUAAUAGAAAUUAUGAAGUUAAAUUAGUUAUUGUUAUGUAAAAAUAUGUAUUUCUAUUCUAUGCUUAAAUGAAAGAAAACAAGCUAUAUGAAGAAGAUUCAAGAAAUCAUAAUUGACUUACAAAAAAUGCAAUUACACGAAAGAACAUGAUUUUAGAAAAAUUUAGGAAAAAGAACCAUCAAAUUUGGAGUCUAUACGAGGGAAAAAUACCAGUUACAAAUUUUAAUUCCGAAUUAAAAAGAGAAAUAUCACAUAUAGUUGUGUUCUUCACAUCACCCACGUGGCACAAUAGUAAAAACAAUUUUGAUGCUCAACGCAGUCAUUAAAGACUGUGUCUUACGGUGGUAGUGCCCGGUCUUUACCUCAGGCAGGUCGCAGGUUCGAUUGCCAUGGAGCACAAGUUGUUUUUAUUUUCCAGAAAAACGAUGACCAUUAUGUACUAAACCAUCUAAUGCACUUUAUUAACACAAGUGCUUUACAAGUCCAGUGGUUAGGCGGCAGUGCUGUAAUCCAUGAUGGCCUGUGUUGGAGCCCGCUUUUAGGCAGAUUUUUUUAAUUUUUUCACUUUUUUUCACACUUGAGCCAGUAGCCCAGGUUCGAAUUACGUACCUACCACUUAUUUUUUCCCUCCAUUUUUGCUCUUAUUUACAAUUACGCUAACUAUUAGAUGCAUGGUGUAGUGGUUUGGCAUGUUGUGUUCCAAUUUAUCUCAAUCCUGUAUAAAAAAGUUUAUAAUGUUAAUGAUUAACACAACCGGUGUCAUAGUCCAGUGGUGAGACACUUGAAUCCGUAUUGUGAGGUGGCAGGUCGAUUCUCUGCCACUCAACCUUUUAUCUCAUUUUUGGACUAAAUGUAUACGUUCAUUAGAAUAUAAAAUAUCUUAUGGCCAAAUGAAACAAAAGCAAGGCCCAGCGCAGUGGUAGAACUGCUCUCCAAGAAGCUCAGCUUCCGCGGUUCGACUCUCCAGCGCCACUUUUUCCGACUCCCAUUUGUGUCAAUGUUUUUGCUCUCUUUUCUUUUUCAGGUUUUGCUAUGAAUAAAAUUUAAUGUAACACAUAAACUCAACUUUACCUAAAGCGCAGUGAUUCCAAUGUAACUACACUACUAGCUGAAUGGUACGGCACUUCCAUGGCGGGCUGCAGUCCAAGGUUCGAACCCCCUUUGCCCCUUGCUGUGCCACUUUUUUUUUUUUUAACAGGGCAUGAGAUAUAUAAAGGGCCCCUUGCUGUGCCACUUUUUUUUUUUAACAGGGCAUGAGAUGUAUAAAGGGACUAUGACAAUUUCUGUGACACCCCCUUGCCGUGCCACUUUUUUUAACAGGGCAUGAGAUAGUAUAAAAACUUAAAUACCAACUACGUCACAGGUUAUUUGCGACGGAUUUACUAAAAUGUCACAGAUUAUGGGCUGCUUCAUGACGAAAUCAACAAAAUGUCACUGUGUUAUGGGCCUUAUAUCCAUAUUGCAUAUUCAUGACGAUCUCUGAAAACGUUACAAAAAUUUCGUCAGAAUUCGUCACAGAUUAAAUGGUUUCUUGUAGUGCUUUUAAAGCAGAUAAAAAUGAUCUGAAGCUCAAUCUUGGUGUUGGUGCCUAUAGAAUAGAAGAAUUGUAGCCCUAUGUCCUCUGUGUAGUCAAGAAGGCUGAAAAUCUUAUGUUGGAGAAAGGAGAAAACAAAGAGUAUCUUCGUAUUAAAGGCUUAACAGCAUUUACCAAAGCAACUGCAGAGCUACUCCUUGGAGCUGACAACCCCGUCAUCAAGCAAGGACUGUUUCUGUAGCAAGUCAUCAACAAUAUGGAGUAGAGGAAGAGGACAUGGAUCUGGAGUUCUAGACAGUUUAUAAAUCAAAUGUCACAAGAACAAAUCUACAACUAUAGGGUUAAAGCAGCAGUGUACAUUCUUUUAGACAGUGAAAAAGUAUGGAGAUGCCCACGCCGAGAGAAACAUGCACUGCAUGAAGACCUCUUCCUUAUCCAUUGCUAAAAGAAUAAACUUUGGGACAUGCUCUGGUCAUGCUUUGGAAUUACACUUUGCAUCCGUAAAGGGAUCUUUGUGUUUGCGGUUUUGCCGUCCGAUUCAAAAGUAAAUGGAACAAAAAGUAAGUUUCAACUCUGGUUAAUAUUCUCUCUUUGUUGCAGGCGUACCUCAAAUACCACUAGAGGCCUCAAAAGAAAUGCUACAAUGGGCGCUGGAUUUGCUGCAACAGAUGAGUACUCACUCUGUGUGUUGUUAUAUACAUUUAGCUGAAAUGUGGCUAAACCAAUAGGUGGUUACAUUACCUUUUUACGAUAGACUGAUAUUGUCUAUCUAUAAUACACUGAUGAUUGUAAGUUAGAGAUGGUAUACUUUCCAUAAGUCACUGCAUAUUUCGAAGACAAUAAUUAAUAAUAGCUUUCAUUUAGCCCAAUUUUCAACCAGUCUAUGCAAUGAUCUACAGGUGGAUCAGUCAACUUUAGGACAUAUGUAUCCCACUGUGCUCUGCAAUGGUCCAUAGUUGUACUUAUUAGCAAGAGUGAUUACCUGCUGACUAACCGUCUAAUAUAAACUGAUGUUUUGAGAUAUCUCUAAAAACUCAUUGGUAUUUCUCUAUUGUAUAAAAAAUAUGAUAUAGAUUUUAUAUUAUUGCAGCUGAAGGAAUUGCACUAUGAAAUUGAUGAUUGAAAAGCACGGGCAAUCAAGUAUUUACUAGAUAUGCUAAUUACUUCACUUCUUGAUAGGAUCAAGUUGUUAUUUUAUUUGAUCGGGCAAACCAGCACACACAUGCUGUAUCUGAAAUUUUUUUAAAACAGCACAGAAGGGAGAAGGUACAGUACCCCAGUGCACACACACAGUAUCUGAAAAAACAUUUGUUUAAGAUUUUUUAAUGUUGUACAACUUUUUCUCAUAACAUUAUCUAGUAAUUCAUUUUUCCCCAGCAUGUGCCUGACACACUUUUUUCUAUUUUUUUCUCUCGCAGCCAUUGGUAAAAAGGCAAAAACAAGGUCAAGCAGAAUUCAAGGAAAACAAAUUCUUUUUUUAUUUCUUUUUUGUUUGGUAAAAAAAUAUCUUAUUGUAUCGUGAGUUAAAACAAAAAGUUAAUCACUACCCCUGUAAAGUUUUGUUCGAUAGUUUUUAUUUUGUGACAGUAAUCUUUUUCCCUCUUUUACGUUUAAUUGUUAGUUUUACCUUUUUAUUAUCUAUCUUCAAAGUUUUCUGUCUAAAACUUUUCCACCACCUCUUUUUAAGCUCGAAAUAUUUUUUUACUCAAUAUAUUUUUUACUCAAAAUAAAAUAUUUUUCUAGCACACAUUUUUCUUAAAUAAUUGUUUUCUCAAAAAAUUUCGAUAUAUAUGUUUCCAUUUACAAUUUUUUUUGUUAAAACAUUUUCCAACAAAAACUUUUAAUAAUAUGCUUUUUCUAAGCGCUAAUGUCAAAAGUUUUUACAAGUAAUUAAAUUUUCCAAUAAAUUUAUAUUAUUCUUUCCAAUUUUUUCAAUAUAAUAUUUUGUUAAAAGUUACUUUUAUUUUCACUCCCCCCACCCAUAUUUUACACCCAAUUAUCCCACAUCCCUAAAAAAAUGGCUUCUGAAAAAUGUUCUCCGUUCACGUUGGUCCCACAACUAAUUUUUGUUUUCGCGCGUGCUCAGGAUUUGCAGGAAAGCCAAACGUGAAUAGGGAAAGGGAAUUAAUAUGGCAUCCACACAUAUGCCAAAAAUGGAAAGGUGGGCAUGUCGGAGAUCGACCGGACGUUGGGAAUUGGCCGGAACAGUGGUGGUGGGGGCCGCUACCAUUUAAUGCAAUCCGUCAGCAGCAGCCAAUAAAAACUAGGCAAACGGUGGGGACACCGCGGCAACACAGCCUAUGUCACCCGCUUGAGCCGGCGUCGCCCAACUCGCCCAGUUUCUUCUCUUUCUUACGCUCUCUCUUCCAUAUUGGAUUUAGCCAGCUCAAUCCAGCUCUUCACCACUUAUAAUACUUGCUCUUAAUAUGAGACACUGCACUGUGGUAACAGCUGAUCCUGAAUUCUUAAUACAAAGAUCCAUACUAUGAUUUUUUUAACAUAUUGUAGCUAAUAAGUACUUCGCCGAUACUAGGACGAAUCAGGAGACACUGCAGCUCUAGCAACAGCUGAUCCUGAUACAAAGAUCCAUACUGUGAUUUGUUAAUACUUCCUCUGUUUUUAUUUACAUGUCGUAUUAGAUUUGUCUUAAGUUAAACUUGGCAAAUCUUGACCAAAUUUAUAGAAAAAUAAUAACAUUUUCAGUACCGAAUUUGUUUUUUUUUUGAAUUCAUCAUGAAAUAUAUGUUCAUAGUGCAUAGGUUGGAUAGUAUAGUUGUUGCUAUAUUUUCUAUAAACUUGAUCAAAGUUAGUCAAAUUUGACUUAGGACAAGUCUAAUACGACAUAUAAACAAAAAUGGAGGGAGUAUAUUAUUGUUGCUAAUAAGUACGCCUAAGCAUCGAGAGGUUUGCUCACAAGCCAAAGCCAUGACUGAGAGCAAGUUUAAUAAUAAAGUAUUUGACUAUUAGCCAAUUUAUAAGAGCCAAGCUAUAUUUGAGGACCAAUGAUGGUCACUCUUGGAUGAUGAGUGAUUGACAAUAUCGUGUGAAUUUGAUAUAUCUCUUGGCUUGUGAUGUGCAGGUGUAAGAUGCAGCAUGGCGGUCGACGGCGCGUGGUGAAGAUCAGGCGAAAGAUUCAUGCUGAAGUACCGUGGUGAACGAUGGACGCGAGUAGGCUCGGAGAAGUGAAAGGUUCAUGCCGAGGGAUCAAGACAGUGAAGGGUGGAUGCGAGUAGGCCUGUACCGAGGGACCCGAAGAGGUCGUGCGGAGCCUUGGGCGGUCCACACGGUGCACGGAAGAGCAAGGGUACAUGGUGAUGAAGACGGCGUCGGCCAAGUCGGCGAGGAUGAUGGCGAGUCAAGUAGGCGGCUAGUGCGGCGGGCGCAUGUGAACGACUCGAAGGCGUCAAGACUCGGCGGGAGGUCGGAUAUGCGUCGACAUCGGCGGUUUAACCGGUUUGGCCUCAAAACCGGGAAGUCAGUCACGUCGUGCGGUGACGUGUGAGAGGGUUUGACCGGUUUGGCCUCAAAACCGGGGGAGACGGGUUUGACCAAUUUGAGCCUCAAAUCCGAGGGCGGACUUGACGCGAUCAAAGUCCGGGUGGAGGGCACGUGGCGCCAUCGCGAAGCUUGCGUCGAGGCGAAGCAAAAUCGUGAAGGCGGCGUGUCCUUUCGGUGCUACUAGAAAAAGAUGGACAAAUUUGUUCAUGUGUGGACGGAUAUUGUAAUAAAUAGCGAGAGGGUAUUUUAGUCUUUCGCACGACUAUAUAUAGAGAGGCAUGGCUAGCGGACGAGUUAGCUCUUGAACCCUAAUUCAUUUGCUCCUCUAAUUUUUGUGGAUUAGAGUUUAUUGGAGAUUUUGUUGUGAAAGGAGGCCCGAACCUCUUGUGCCCUUCGAGCGUCAAGAUCUGAGUAAUUGUUGAGUUCA
Panicum virgatum (switchgrass) is the source of this 6113-nucleotide long non-coding RNA. RefSeq lists it as uncharacterized. The transcript is spliced from 7 exons. NCBI's taxonomy places the organism in Eukaryota, Viridiplantae, Streptophyta, Magnoliopsida, Poales, Poaceae. The record is from RefSeq and is a predicted model, not a curated record.